UACGUAGGGCGCAAGCGUUAUUCGGAAUCACUGGGCUUAAAGCGCGUGUAGGCGGAUGGGAACGUCGGUAGUUGAAAGCCCCCGGCUCAACCGGGGAAGUGGUGCCGAAACGACCCGUCUGGAGGGACGUAGGGGGACCUGGAACUUCCGGUGGAGCGGUGAAAUGCGUUGAGAUCGGAAGGAACGCCCGUGGCGAAAGCGAGGUCCUGGACGUCUACUGACGCUGAGACGCGAAAGCUAGGGGAGCAAACGGG
RNAcentral lists this ribosomal RNA (254 nucleotides) under uncultured bacterium. Its description in RNAcentral is "partial 16S ribosomal RNA". It matches the Rfam family "Bacterial small subunit ribosomal RNA", at positions 524 to 776 of the family's 1533-position model. The record is from RNAcentral.